This is a non-coding RNA of Pelodiscus sinensis (Chinese soft-shelled turtle), 210 nucleotides long. The record is from RefSeq and is a predicted model, not a curated record. NCBI's taxonomy places the organism in Eukaryota, Metazoa, Chordata, Testudines, Trionychidae.
CUAUACUACACAGGAACAUCAGCAUAGGAGCCAGCAAACAGCUGAAGACAGGAGAGCUUGAGUUGGAGUGGUUUCUUACUUACAACAAGUUAUCAACCGUUCCUGACCUUCAGGACAAGAGGACUCAACUUUUAAAAGCUACACAUGCCCUAUGUCGGGACGCUAAUCACAAGUUCAUCAAGAGGUGAAAAGAGUAGAAGGAGGAUUAAG